CGUCGGUAACUUUCGGCUGAGCUGGGCGCUGGCGUUGACCUCUUAACAAAGAACAGGUCAUUGUCAAAAAGGAUGAGGAGUGCCUGCAGAAUGACAUACAACUGCAACAGAAACCUUCCAACACACCUUCCUUGGCUCGUUCAAGCAAUCUUCACUGAGCACAUACUCCCGUCUGUUACUGACUUCUACGCCACCUGCUAUCGGUUUGAAGAAAAUGAGGCAUAGCUUUUACCUUUCCAGAACUCACUGUUAAGUGUUUUUGAAAUCACUGGACUUUUCCAUGGCUGUUGGAAUAAAUUAGGCCUCCGUGAUGGCAGGUAGGGUGAUGGUGCUUUGGCUGUAGAUAUUACUAUCAGGGAUGAAGACUGUCUCCAUUGGUUACCCGCUCUAGUGGACAUAGGUACCUUUUUGUUUCUUCUGUACAUCUUUGGCUUGAAGUCAGAAGAUCUGGAUCUAAUAUUAGCUUUGCCAUUGACUAACACAUACAACCUGACUAACUAAUUCAUCCUGUGCAGGCUGAGUAACACCUUUGCUCAGCAUGAUUGCCGGCUUACACUGCAUUUGCUGAGUGAAUCGACAAAGACAUGAACACAAUAAAGAUACCAUGCCUUGAGUGACAGCGACCAUGUGGCCCAAACCAGUGCACGUCCCCAGGAAUUCCAGAACCAGCAGCCCUUCAGUGAACGCCAGCCAGGCCCAGGGCGUGACGUGAGAAACAGUAGCAAGCCUCCCGCUCCAGGUGCGGCCAGGAACCAGCAGGUGGCUGUGGUUGGGUGGCCCCCUUCA
Non-coding RNA from Leptonychotes weddellii (Weddell seal), 786 nucleotides. The record is from RefSeq and is a predicted model, not a curated record. Lineage: Eukaryota; Metazoa; Chordata; Mammalia; Carnivora; Phocidae.